Molecule: long non-coding RNA, 826 nt
Organism: Cyprinus carpio (common carp)
Lineage: Eukaryota; Metazoa; Chordata; Actinopteri; Cypriniformes; Cyprinidae
Source: Ensembl
GAGGCUUGAGACUGUCCCAUAGACUGCCAAAUAAAUAACAGUGUCAAGGUCCAGGAAAGUAUGAAAAGCAUCGUCAGAAUAGUCCAUCUGCCAUCAGUGAUUCAACCGUAACAUUAUGAAGUGACGAGAAUACUUUUUGUACACAAAGAAAACAUUUAGGCAAUUCUGAGCAGUAAGCAGAUGGCGUACGCUCUUCUGUAUCAGCACGGCUGAUACAGAAGAGCGUAAGCCGCUUGUGUACUGCUCAGAAUUGCCAAAAUGGCACCACGCUGAAUUGGAGAGACACAGAGGAGAGGAAUUGUUGAAUAAAAUUGUUAUUUUUGUUUCCUUCAUGUACAAAAAGUGUUCCCAUCGGUUCAUAACGUUACGGUUGAACCACUGAUGGCAGAUGGACUAUUCUGACGAUGCUUUUCAUACUUUCCUGGACCUUGACACUUUUAUUUAUUUGUCAGUCUAUGGGACAGUCUCAAGCCUCCCUGUUUUCAUCCGAAAUGUCUUAAAUUGUGUUCUGAAGACAAACAGAGCUUUUACGGGUUUGGAACGACAUGGGGAAUCAAGACAAAAUGUUUAUUUUGGGAUGGAGUAUCCCUUUAAUGUGUGUUUGUGUGUUGUGUGUUGCCUUCUGCAGUUUCCCUGCAAUAAUCCUCUGGUUGCUCAGCUGAUGUUGAGGAGAGCUCCAUCACUGCUUCUUUAUCUGCGCUGCAGGAAAUGUUCCCACAGAUCCCUCACAAAGUCAUUGAGGAAUCCUGAUACCAUUCAAACGGUUGGGGUCAUAACAGCAGAAGAGGAGAGGAAAUAUGGCCAAGAAAUGAAUUAUCUCUUCUAG